This 253-nucleotide ribosomal RNA is filed under the name uncultured bacterium. Its description in RNAcentral is "partial 16S ribosomal RNA". It matches the Rfam family "Bacterial small subunit ribosomal RNA", at positions 524 to 776 of the family's 1533-position model. The record is from RNAcentral.
UACGGAGGGUGCGAGCGUUGUCCGGAAUCACUGGGCGUAAAGGGCGCGUAGGCGGCCUGCUAAGUCGAACGUGAAAUCCCCGGGCUCAACCCGGGAACUGCGUCCGAUACUGGCAGGCUUGAAUCCGGGAGAGGGAUGCGGAAUUCCAGGUGUAGCGGUGAAAUGCGUAGAUAUCUGGAGGAACACCGGUGGCGAAGGCGGCAUCCUGGACCGGCAUUGACGCUGAGGCGCGAAAGCCAGGGGAGCAAACGGG